Long non-coding RNA from Pan paniscus (pygmy chimpanzee), 395 nucleotides. The record is from Ensembl. NCBI's taxonomy places the organism in Eukaryota, Metazoa, Chordata, Mammalia, Primates, Hominidae.
CUAAAUUAUAAGUUUGAAAAGGCUUAAGAGGUAAUGUGGCAGCACAAACCCAUGGGCUCCUUUUCAUCUUUAACAUGCAGGCUUGGAAGAUAAAAGAUUUAAGUGUGCGAGUGUGUAUGUGCACGUGCAUGUGUGUGAAGAGGGUGAGAGAGCAAGACAAAGACAGAAGGCAAAAUGAAGAGAGCAGCACUCAAAGCAACCUAUGUCAACUUUGUUGGAAUUUUUUCCUGUAGCAAAAAGAAUUAUGGAAAAGUCACUUACAAUUGAUCUGAGGACCCCAACUGGCUCCAGAAGGAACUCUGCCCUCUACCAGAAAAGGAUGAAGAGAAGAACUCAACCUCACAGAAAAAUAACAACCAGCCUAUGAACUCCCUUUCCCCAGAAUAAAAGAGGUC